AACGCACAUUGCGCCCCUUGGUAUUCCGAGGGGCAUGCCUGUUCGAGCGUCAUUACAACCCUCAAGCAAUGCUUGGUAUUGGGCUCUGCUGCUUAUCCAGCGGGCCUUAAAAUCAGUGGCGGUGCCGUCGGGCCCUGAGCGCAGUAAAUAUCCUCGCUACAGGGACUCGGUGGACGCUGGCCAUCAACCCCCCACUCUAAGUUUGACCUCGGAUCAGGUAGGGAUACCCGCUGAACUUAA
This 240-nucleotide unclassified non-coding RNA is filed under the name uncultured fungus. RNAcentral describes it as "sequence contains ITS2". The stretch from base 1 to 52 matches the Rfam family "5.8S ribosomal RNA", at positions 103 to 154 of the family's 154-position model. The record is from RNAcentral. Lineage: Eukaryota; Fungi.